UUAUUGUCAACUAUUUAUCAACUUACACAUGCAAGUCUCAGCAUCCCUGUGAGAACGCCCUUUUACCUCAUCAAGGAAAAGGAGCUGGUAUCAGGCACAGUAUCUCGCCCACAACACCUAGCUUUGCCACACCCCCAAGGGUACUCAGCAGUGAUUAACAUUGAUUAUGAGCGCCAGCUCGACUCAGUUAGAUAAAAUAGAGCCGGCUAAUCCGGUGCCAGCCGCCGCGGCUACACCAUCAGGCCCAAGCUGACAAUCAUUCGGCGUUAAGCGUGUUUAAAGUGUUUCCCCUAUAUUAGAAUUAAACUUAAACCAAGUCGUGACACACUUGUUUAUAAGAAAGCCUCAAACGAAAGUUAUUCUAACCAAACCACUUGAAUCCACGACAGCUAGGACACAAACUGGGAUUAGGUACCCCACUAUGCCUAGCCGUAAAAUAUUUACUUACACCAAACCCGCCGGGGAAUUACGAGCUCAAGCUUAAAACCCAAAGGACUUGACGGUGUCCCACCCAUCUAGAGGAGCCUGUUCUAUAAUCGAUUCUCCCCGAUAUACCUCACCAUAUCUAGCCUUUCAGCCUGUAUACCUCCGUCGCAAGCUUACCAUAUGAACGCAUCCUAGUGAGCUUAAAUAUAUAUCAUAAAUACGUCAGGUCAAGGUGCAGCCAACGUCAUGGAAAGUAAUGGGCUACAAUUUCUACCAUAGAACAAACGAAAGACUACAUGCAACUUAGUCAUGAAGGCGGAUUUAGCAGUAAAAAGAAAAUAGAGAGUUCUUUUUAAUUAGGCACUGGGACGCGUACACACCGCCCGUCACCCUCUUCAAAUGAAACUACUAAAGUUCUUAACAAUAUUAUUCACCACAGAAGAGGUAAGUCGUAACACGGUAAGCGUACUGGAAAGUGUGCUUGGAUUAACAAA
RNAcentral lists this non-coding RNA (920 nucleotides) under Microhyla marmorata (marble pigmy frog). Its description in RNAcentral is "partial small subunit ribosomal RNA". It matches the Rfam family "Bacterial small subunit ribosomal RNA". Lineage: Eukaryota; Metazoa; Chordata; Amphibia; Anura; Microhylidae. The record is from RNAcentral. RNAcentral also lists the same sequence under 1 other name.